Molecule: transfer RNA, 608 nt
Filed under: Pasteurella multocida
Lineage: Bacteria; Pseudomonadati; Pseudomonadota; Gammaproteobacteria; Pasteurellales; Pasteurellaceae
Description: partial 16S-23S ribosomal RNA intergenic spacer
Rfam family: tRNA (bases 79-152)
Source: RNAcentral
AAUGAAGCGACUGCAAGUGUUCACACAGAUUGUUUGGUAGAUUGUGUCAAUGAAGAGACAAAAAACCGAAAUCCUUUUGGGUCUGUAGCUCAGGUGGUUAGAGCGCACCCCUGAUAAGGGUGAGGUCGGUGGUUCAAGUCCACUCAGACCCACCACUCAAGCGAAAGCAAAAGAGUGAAGCGAAAAGGGAUGACGGCGCAUUGUAAUGAUGUGAAUGGGGAUAUAGCUCAGCUGGGAGAGCGCCUGCCUUGCACGCAGGAGGUCAGCGGUUCGAUCCCGCUUAUCUCCACCAAAUCAUCAUUGCUAAGUGUUUUGUGUAAAUGGCAUUAGUCUGGAUAGAUUAAUGGUUCUUACAUUAAGAAUAUUUAGCAAUGAUGAGCGAAAAAUGGCGAAGCCAUUUUGACUUGUCUUUACUGUUCUUUAAAAAAUUGGAAACAAGCUGAAAAACUGAAGAGAUUUUCGAAAGAAAGUCUGAGUAGAAAAAUCUUGCAUGAAAAAAGGCAUGCAAGUGUUUAGCGUUUAAACACAACAUCAAGGUGAUGAAGCUUGAUUAAUACCUUAGCAAAGGUUAAUGGAUUAAUUGAGAUUAAGUAAGAAUACUUGAGGUU